Ribosomal RNA from Mustela putorius furo (domestic ferret), 119 nucleotides. The record is from Ensembl. Lineage: Eukaryota; Metazoa; Chordata; Mammalia; Carnivora; Mustelidae.
GUCUAUGGCCAUACCACCCUGAAUACACCUGAUCCCAUCUGAUCUCAGAAGGUAAGCAGGGCCAAGCCUGGUUUGUACUUGGAUGGGAGACUGCUUGAGAAUGCUAAGUGCUGUCGGCU